UGAAGGAAGGAGAUGGGGCCUGGGGUCCAUAAAACCUACUGCCAAACCAAUCCAGACAGUAUCCCUAUGUUUCCCAGGCUGAUCUCAAACUCCUGGCCUGAACUGACUUCCUGCCUCAACCGACCUCCUGCCUCAACCUCCCAAAGCACUGGGAUUAACAGCAUAAGCCACUGUGCCCAGCCUAAUUUUUAUUUUUCAACUUUGUACAUUAUGGUGUUUUUAAUACCCCUGCCCAGACCGCAGUUUUAGGUAAACCCCCAUCCUGCCUAUACUCAUGUUCCUGUUCCCUUUCCUAGCUGUGUGACCUCGGGAAGGUCACUUGCUUCACUAGGCAUCAACUUGCUCUUCUGUUAAAUGGGGACAACAGAACCCCGUAAGACACUCUGACAAUCACAUGAGGCUAUGUGAAUAAAACAUGGGCCUAGUA
This 427-nucleotide non-coding RNA is filed under the name Pongo abelii (Sumatran orangutan). Lineage: Eukaryota; Metazoa; Chordata; Mammalia; Primates; Hominidae. The record is from RNAcentral.